Mastomys coucha (southern multimammate mouse) is the source of this 133-nucleotide small nucleolar RNA. RefSeq annotates it as small nucleolar RNA SNORA70. NCBI's taxonomy places the organism in Eukaryota, Metazoa, Chordata, Mammalia, Rodentia, Muridae. The transcript has a single exon. The record is from RefSeq and is a predicted model, not a curated record.
AUGCAACCCAUUAAGCCAACCAGGUUCCUUUACUCUUUGGGACCUUGUUUGCAGUGGCCGUCAACAGCAUCUUCCUUGGUAGCAAGGAAGUCUAUUUCUGUAUGGAUUGCCCUAAGGGACCUUGGAGACAAUG